This is a non-coding RNA of Pelobates cultripes (western spadefoot toad), 411 nucleotides long. The record is from the annotation of a GenBank genome assembly. Lineage: Eukaryota; Metazoa; Chordata; Amphibia; Anura; Pelobatidae.
CAAAGGUAAAGUAGGAGAAAGAGCAGAAAGGGACAGCAAGGAGCACAAAGGUAAAGUAGAAAAGGGAGCAGAAAGGGUCUGCAAGGAGCAGAAAGGGAUCAGAAUGAGAAAGGAGCAGAAGGGCGCAAAAUAAGCAGAAAGGUAAAAGAGCAGAAGGGGCCAAGGAUAGAAAACAGUGUCAGAAGAAAAAAAAAGACUGUCAAAUGAAGGAGAGGAAAAGGAGAUUGGAGCAGGAAGGACAAAUGAAGUGAACCCUCCACUUUAUUCUGGACACCACAUCAUAAGGCUUUGGUACCUGGGCCUGGCAGGGAAACGCUGGACCUACUCAUCUCCAAAGGUAAAAAAAUAUCGGUGUUAAUGUGUUCACUUUUAUUUACUGAGUGUCAGGAAGCACAGAGUGCCGUUGGGUAG